RNAcentral lists this transfer RNA (56 nucleotides) under Cyrtodactylus taynguyenensis. RNAcentral describes it as "partial tRNA-Tyr". Lineage: Eukaryota; Metazoa; Chordata; Lepidosauria; Squamata; Gekkonidae. The record is from RNAcentral.
GCCGAGUAGGCGGCGAGUUGUAGCCUCGUGUACGGGCGAACGUGUCCCCCAACCAG